UUGGAGGGCAAGUCUGGUGCCAGCAGCCGCGGUAAUUCCAGCUCCAAUAGCGUAUAUUAAAGUUGUUGCAGUUAAAAAGCUCGUAGUUGAAUUUCGGGAUCAAUAUAUCGGUCGUGCCUUUGGUACGUACUGGUAUCAUUGAUUUCUCCUUUCUGACGAAUCAUGAUGUCAUUAAUUUGGUGUUAUGAGGAGUUAGGACUGUUACUUUGAAAAAAUUAGAGUGUUUAAAGCAGGCAUUAGCUUGAAUACAUUAGCAUGGAAUAAUGAAAUAGGACGUUUGACCCUAUUUUGUUGGUUUUUAGGAUCGACGUAAUGAUUAAUAGGGAUAGUUGGGGGCAUUAGUAUUCAAUUGUCAGAGGUGAAAUUCUUGGAUUUAUUGAAGACUAACUACUGCGAAAGCACUUGCCAAGGAUGUUUUCAUUAAUCAAGAACGAAAGUUAGGGGAUCGAAGACGAUCAGAUACCGUCGUAGUCUUAACCAUAAACUAUGCCGACUAGGGAUCGGGUGAUGUUAAUUUUUUAAUGACUCAUUCGGCGCCUUACGGGAAAC
RNAcentral lists this ribosomal RNA (549 nucleotides) under uncultured Glomeromycotina. RNAcentral's name for it is "SSU rRNA". It matches the Rfam family "Eukaryotic small subunit ribosomal RNA", at positions 548 to 1098 of the family's 1831-position model. The record is from RNAcentral. Lineage: Eukaryota; Fungi; Glomeromycota.